This is a non-coding RNA of Aegilops tauschii subsp. strangulata, 1908 nucleotides long. Lineage: Eukaryota; Viridiplantae; Streptophyta; Magnoliopsida; Poales; Poaceae. The record is from RefSeq and is a predicted model, not a curated record.
UAAGAGGCAAACUCUUUUUUUUUUCCUGUGAUGAACCACCCUUUUCAUUUGCCACUUGGGCAGUUUGCUCUAUUCAUGCCCUGUUUAGUUUGCUCUACGAAAAUAUGCAAAGAUGGCUCCAAACAAUUGCAAACAUGUCAUUUCAUCAAUUAUACUGUGUUGCCAGUUUAGAAAGUGGCAAAGUGCAUCAUUUCAUUUAUUUUUUCCGAACUCCCUUUUCGUGGUGUUUUCUAAUUUGUCUGUUUCCUGAUGCUAACUCAAGUGCUGUUAUUUAGCUUGCAAGGCUGGUGAUCCUCAGCAUGGAGAAACGAGGAACCAGACGUUGGAGAUUUUUUAAUUUCUUCAUAUGUAAAAAUGGAUCUUGGUAAGUAGUUCCCUCAUGUAUGAAGAUGUGCCAUGUGGCUAAUGCCAUCAAACUCUUGUUACCCCAACCAAGUUAUUUGAGAUAUAAUAACUGCAAUAUUCUUUAACUACUUAAUCAGAACUGCUCCUCAUACUGACAUGUUACUGAGAUGUUUCCUUGGUGUUUCCUUUGACAAAUAAUUUAUGGAACCAUUUAUUAAAAAUUGUAUCUAUGUGGCUUGACUGAACCCUAGGAAUGUAACCCUACGUGCAUGGACUGUUCCAAGGUCAUGGUAAAUUAAGCAGCCCAAUGUGUUAAUGCAAUUGCUAUUCCUUGUAGGCAUCACGAAAUGUUCAGACUAAAUUUGAUAUAUCUUAUAAUUCUACUUGAAAAGAUGAAUAAGGCAACAAGCCAUUCAAGGAAUUGCCAGUCUGAAGCCAUGUAGUGAGUUGAGAAACACAAUUGCGUUAGUUGCAGCCAAUUCAGAGGCAUGCCCGAUGAAUUUGGUUUAACAUGCCACCAUGUCGGGUGAAAUGCAGAACAAUGCACAUUUGUGUAUUUGUUUAAAAGGCUAAAUAGUGUUAGUUUCUUUCUGCCACAAGUGCUUAUACAGCUAUACUAAACCUGAUACAUGCAUGAUAACUUACUUUCGCACCGAGCAUUUUAUUUUAUUUUGCAUUGUCUGGGAUAGGAAACUGUGCGCUGACAUUUUUUUUUGUGUGCAUUGGCAACCUUCUGGUGUUGUAAAGCUGUCUUCAUUUUACUCAGUGCCUCUAAGAGCAUUGUUGCGGAAUGGUUUACCGAAAGUUUUGGACACCACAGCUGAUACUGUUAUAUCGACAGUUGAAUCCAGCAGCUGCUUACGCAUUCAGUUCUUAAUUAAAAAAAGAAUGCUGUCAUUGAUCUGAGCGCUGUAAAAAUAUAUCUGCACAAGCAUAUCAAGAUUCUACUGCUGACCUGUGCUACCGCAGAGGUUUCUGCCCUGGGAGCAGAUAAUUAAAUUCAUCUGCCAUAUCUGCAUACUUUUACAAUUUUAUGCACGAUAUCUUUUGCUUCCGCUGUCUGUAGAUUGACUUCAUAACUCAAUUAUGAAGCGAUUUGAAUACCAUGCCCCUGUUUGUUUGGGCUAAAGCUUCAGCUUUUGCUACUUCUAGCUUCCUAGAAGCACAAGCUGGAACAAACAUCAAUUUUUUGUAAAGGGCAGGGCGCUUGGGUUUCGGGUCACCCCGCCGCCACCAUUUCCGGCCACCCCACCGGCUGUACCAGCAUACCUCUCAUUCUGUGAUCAGUUCUUUGUAACUGAAUAACAUAUCUCUAUGUUUGUUCAUCAUGUUAUCCCUCGUAUUCUGUCUCGCCAUUCUUAAGUCGAUAUGUUUGUAUGUUCGCAUGUUUUUCAUCUACAGCUACUUGGUGAUUCUCCUCACAUCAGUUCUGCUAGAUAUAUCUCAGUAGUUCGUAGUAGUUUUUCCUCAAAGUCAAUUCCAUUCUUAGUUUUAUCUAUACUUGGAAUUGCCUUAUUUUUAUUUAUUCCGCUGUGUUGUGGUGAGAGAUUUCAUUUUUCCGAA